Long non-coding RNA from Lucilia sericata (common green bottle fly), 1070 nucleotides. RefSeq lists it as uncharacterized. NCBI's taxonomy places the organism in Eukaryota, Metazoa, Arthropoda, Insecta, Diptera, Calliphoridae. The record is from RefSeq and is a predicted model, not a curated record. The transcript has 2 exons.
CAAUUGAGAAGAUUACAUAACUGGAAAGAUCAAAAGAAGUCGUAACAUUUUUUCUGUUUGUUAAAAUGUAAAAUGUUAUUAUUUUAAGACAUAAAAAUAAUUAAAAUCUAGUGUUUUUACAUUUUCAGGAAGAUUUCUUUUUAUGUCUUGUGUCGGAUAUAUGAUUAUAAUAAACCAUGCAAUAUCAUAAUUUUUAAAGUUAAAUGAUUGUUUUAUUUACUAUUUGUACAUAACUUUGUUGAAAGGAUAUAAUGAGCAAACCGUUAACGGUACCUAAAUACAUAUUUGUCCAAUUCACAACUGGUAUUUGUAUUUUCUAUCGCUUAUUAAAAUACAGAAUUCCGAUAUCUGCUUGUGUAUUGUAAAAAGCCAUGUUGUAAAAAAUAAAGAAAAACAUCUUCAAUAUUUAUAAAAAUAAAAUUAAAUAGAAAAACUAAAUUAAUUAUAGGCAUUCACAUGAGAAUGAUAGUUUGACAUUGAUUACGAAAUAAAUAAACAUGAAAAAUAAACGUAAAGUUAUACGAGCUUUUUUAAUUGAAAUUACCAAUAACAUUUAUACAGAAGUGUAAACUAAUACAAAAAUACACACGAUACGUAGCUACACGAGGCUUGUGAAUUAGACAAUUGUUUCACCAAUUUACUCUGUUAAUUUACUAAAUUUUUCUGAAUGUCAAGUAGUGCUUAUAUGUAUACCGCAUUUCGAUUGCGGGCGAAAAAAAAAACAAAAAUUUCAUAUUCGUAUCAAUGGUUGUUUACAAUUGGAACCACAACCACUGUCGACAACGAGUUUCAUACAUUUUGUAUGUUCCCUGCAGUUCGGCAGGACUGUCCCGAACUAACCACUUAGUGUGGCCCCAGGUGACUAAUCAUUUCAAGAUGGGCUUGAUAAUACAGUGAGACAAGUAAAAUAACAAAAUUCUUAGAGUUAUAUGCGUCUUACUCUAAUAACAUAGUGAACGAAUAAAGCAACAUUGCUAAAAUGGGAUAUUGUAUGUAUACAGACUACAAUUGUACAGAGAACAAAAGUUUGAUAAGGCGGCUGACUUCCAAAACGUCAGUUGCUGUGUAUA